This 103-nucleotide small nucleolar RNA is filed under the name Olea europaea subsp. europaea. RNAcentral's name for it is "Plant small nucleolar RNA R71". It matches the Rfam family "Plant small nucleolar RNA R71". Rfam says of the family: R71 is a member of the C/D box family of snoRNAs containing the C (UGAUGA) and D (CUGA) box motifs. Multiple nearly identical copies of this snoRNA have been identified in Arabidopsis, and it is thought to function as a 2'-O-ribose methylation guide for 18S ribosomal RNA. The record is from Rfam by way of RNAcentral. Lineage: Eukaryota; Viridiplantae; Streptophyta; Magnoliopsida; Lamiales; Oleaceae.
AUUCAGAGUGGGGCAAUUUCUGAAAUACUCUUUGAAUCUUUCCUAGGCCUCUGGAUAGCUUUCAAGGUCUUUUUGCUUAAAAGUAUGAACUUCAUUUUAGAUU